AGUAGCGAAGUUCCUGAUGUCACACUGCCAAGAAAAGCUUCUAGUGAGAAAGUAACUGCCCGUACCGCAAACCGCCACAGGUAGUUGAGGAGAGAAUCCUAAGGUGUGCGAGAGAACUCUCGUUAAGGAACUCGGCAAAAUGACCCCGUAACUUCGGGAGAAGGGGUGCUGACCGCAAGGUCAGCCGCAGUGAAUAGGCCCAAGCGACUGUUUAUCAAAAACACAGGUCUCUGCAAAAUCGAAAGAUGACGUAUAGGGGCUGACGCCUGCCCGGUGCUGGAAGGUUAAGAGGAGAGGUUAGCGCAAGCGAAGCUUUGAAUUGAAGCCCCAGUAAACGGCGGCCGUAACGAUAACGGUCCUAAGGUAGCGAAAUUCCUUGUCGGGUAAGUUCCGACCCGCACGAAAGGCGUAACGAUUUGGGCACUGUCUCAACGAGAGACUCGGUGAAAUUAUAGUACCAGUGAAGAUGCUGGUUACCCGCGACAGGACGGAAAGACCCCAUGGAGCUUUACUGCAGUUUGAUAUUGCGUGUUUGUAUCACAUGUACAGGAUAGGUAGGAGCCGAAGAUACCGGGACGCCAGUCUCGGAGGAGGCAACGGUGGGAUACUACCCUUGUGAUAUGACCACUCUAACCCGCUGCUCUUAGCGAGCAGGGAGACAGUGUCAGACGGGCAGUUUGACUGGGGCGGUCGCCUCCAAAAAUGUAACGGAGGCGCCCAAAGGUUCCCUCAGAAUGGUUGGAAAUCAUUCGUAGAGUGUAAAGGCAGAAGGGAGCUUGACUGCGAGACCUACAAGUCGAGCGGGGACGAAAGUCGGGCUUAGUGAUCCGGUGGUUCCGCAUGGAAGGGCCAUCGCUCAACGGAUAAAAGCUACCCUGGGGAUAACAGGCUUAUCUCCCCCAAGAGUUCACAUCGACGGGGAGGUUUGGCACCUCGAUGUCGGCUCAUCGCAUCCUGGGGCUGUAGUCGGUCCCAAGGGUUGGGCUGUUCGCCCAUUAAAGCGGUACGCGAGCUGGGUUCAGAACGUCGUGAGACAGUUCGGUCCCUAUCCGUCGCGGGCGUUGGAAAUUUGAGAGGAGCUGUCCUUAGUACGAGAGGACCGGGAUGGACACACCGCUGGUGUACCAGUUGUUCUGCCAAGAGCAUCGCUGGGUAGCUAUGUGUGGACGGGAUAAACGCUGAAAGCAUCUAAGCGUGAAGCCCCCCUCAAGAUGAGAUUUCCCAUCACUUUAAGUGAGUAAGACCCCUGAGAGAUGAUCAGGUAGAUAGGUUGGGAGUGGAAGUACAGCGAUGUAUGGAGCGGACCAAUACUAAUCGGUCGAGGACUUAAUC
RNAcentral lists this ribosomal RNA (1332 nucleotides) under metagenome. RNAcentral's name for it is "bacterial LSU rRNA". It matches the Rfam family "Bacterial large subunit ribosomal RNA", at positions 1581 to 2925 of the family's 2925-position model. The record is from RNAcentral.